This 639-nucleotide long non-coding RNA is filed under the name Sorghum bicolor (sorghum). Its description in RNAcentral is "long non-coding RNA (SBIC_LNC011070)". Lineage: Eukaryota; Viridiplantae; Streptophyta; Magnoliopsida; Poales; Poaceae. The record is from RNAcentral.
CAGGAUACAAAAGUGCAUCCUCGAUUGUAAUCGUUGUACCCAUAGGGAGCGUAAUAAUGGCUCUUCCAGAGCCUGCUAUUGCGGCAUCACGUCCAGCGAUUGUUAAAACAUUUCCUUUGCUCUUUGUGAGAGUUUGGAAAUAUUUUAUUUCCCUGAGUAUAGAGUUAGUGGCGCCACUGUCCACUAGGCACAUUUCCUCAUUGAUCGGAUUGACUCCCGUACAAUCUAUGAAAAUAGAAAAUAAAAUAGAGAAUGAAAUUCUCAACAUGAAUAUAUAUAAAAUAUAAACAUUUAUUAAUGUGGAAUUGUGCAUAAGUCAAUGAACAUAAAACAGAGUGCAGCAAAAACAAAUUGUCAAUUAUUACAAUCCCAAAGGCAAAUCAUAAAACUAAAAUCUCAAAUGACUAUCAAUCUAGUUGUAGUCACCGAGCAGAUCAUCAGAAUUGUAUUCAAUGAUCAUGUUGUUGUUGGAGUCAUUUGCCAUGCCAUCAGGUGGAAGAGGCGCCAUUGUGUUGCUCGGUCCCGCUAGGACGGGGUUGGAACAUCCUGGGGCUGCCAGAUCAUUGAAGUGUGCUUCAAACGGUUCUCCACCUUGGUUGGAGCGUCCUUGGUUGGAGCGUCCUCGUCCCAUGGAAUGCA